RNAcentral lists this transfer RNA (68 nucleotides) under Eogystia hippophaecolus. Its description in RNAcentral is "tRNA-Cys". The record is from RNAcentral. Lineage: Eukaryota; Metazoa; Arthropoda; Insecta; Lepidoptera; Cossidae.
AGUCUUAUAGUCAAUUUAUGAUAUAAAAUUGCAAAUUUUAAGUAAUAUAAUUAUUUAUAUUAAGGCUU